Cercocebus atys (sooty mangabey) is the source of this 1634-nucleotide RNA transcript. RefSeq lists it as uncharacterized. The transcript has 2 exons. Lineage: Eukaryota; Metazoa; Chordata; Mammalia; Primates; Cercopithecidae. The record is from RefSeq and is a predicted model, not a curated record.
AAAGUGCUGAGAUUACAGGUGUUAGCCACCAUGCCCAGUCAAUUUUUUCUAUUCAUGUAUUUUUUGCUUUAUAAGUUUAGAAGUUUUAGGUGAUCAAGUUAUUUCUCUUAUUACUUUUGUUGUGAAAUCUAUUUUACAAUGAGAAGAAUCUCAAAUCAAAUGUUUAUUUUUAGUAGAAACACAUUUGAGAUUUGACUCCAAAGAAAAUGCAACUAAUGUACCUUGCAAAGAAAAAAGUAGUUGUGCAUAUACUCCUGCCACCCGUGCUUCCCAUUAACCUCUGCCUCUUGGCAAGCCAUUGACCUGUUUUCCUAGUAAGCUCAGGCUGCAAUUGUGUUAGCUGGCUGAGUCACAGCUGGGGCUUAUGGAGGACAACCUGGCAAUUACAUUAUGUUCCUAGAUUCACUGUACAUUCAUAAAUCCUCUGGUGCAUGAAGUCUAAAACCUCGUGACUUGCUAAGGCAAAGAGUUGUAUAAGCCACGAAGGAAAAUGAAGCAUAUCAAUGAUAUAAUUUCACUUCAAAAUGUACUAGAGACCCACCUAUUUUUAUUGUCAAAUUUGCUCAUGGAUUGAUCAUACUUGUCAAUAACCCUCAAAUAUUACAAUAACUGUUUUUUUUCUCUCUCUCAGCAGCCAAAUAUUUCUACCCAGGAACAGAUGGUUUAUCUUCCUCUUAGAUGCAUAGAAUUAGAUGGGACUAACAGCCUCCAAGUUUGCUUGACACAUAAAUGAAAUAUAUCCUGAGGACUCACUCCUGCUCAGCCACUCACAUCAAAUUUAGUUUCUUGAACUGGGCUGCUGAGGCAUUCUGCUCAGGAAUUAAUCAUAGCUGAGAAGUCACUUCAGGGGUGGAGGAGGAAAACAAUCUGCAACUUCUUGUUGUCCUAUAUUCACACAAUAUACGCUGUGUGCCUACUACAAACUGGAAACCGUUCUCAGCUCUAAGUUCCAUCAAUGACUGACAGGAGGAGUUGCUUACCAGGGGAAGACAUGUGUGAACUGAUGUAUGUGUCGGAUGGUAGUAAGUGCACUGGAGAAAAUGAAGCCUGGUGAAGGAUCAGGGAGUGAAUGGAGGGGUCACUAGAAAGUUCUAGGCAGAGGAAAUGUACAGAUGCCCUCAGGUGGGAACACUUUGCUUCUUCAAAGGGUUGCAUAGAGGCCACUAUGGCCAGAGGGCAGUGAGUGAGGAUUAUUCAAGGAGAAGGAAAGGGAAGUUUAAGGAGGAGAGGUUGCGUCUUAGGCUUUUUACUCUGAGAUGGGAAGCCCUGAAGUGUUCUGUGCUGAAGAGCCAUGUGCUUUGACUCAGGCUUUUCAAGAACCACCGUGGUCUGCUGUGCAAGGGUGACAUCAGGGAGACCAGUCAGGAGGUGGUAUGGUUUGGAUAUGGUUUGUUUGGCUCCACCAAGUCUCAUGUGGAAAUCUGAUCCCCACUGUUGGAGGCGGGGCUUAAGGGGAGUUGUUUGGGUCAUGGGGGUGGAUCCCUCAUGAAUGGCUUGGUGCCCUCCUCGAAGUAGAGAGCGAGUUCUCAGUCUUAGUCCCUGCGAGAACUGAUCGUUGCUUCAUCCCUGGGAUGCAAGGCUGGUUCAACAUUCGCAAAUCAAUAAACAUAAUCCAGCAUAUAAACAGAACCAAA